UACGUAGGGGGCUAGCGUUGUUCGGAAUCACUGGGCGUAAAGCGCACGCAGGCGGAUCGUUAAGUCAGGGGUGAAAUGCCGAGGCUCAACCUCGGAACUGCCUUUGAUACUGGCGAUCUUAGAGUCCGGGAGAGGUGAGUGGAACUCCGAGUGUAGAGGUGAAAUUCGUAGAUAUUCGGAAGAACACCAGUGGCGAAGGCGGCUCACUGGCCCGGUACUGACGCUCAGGUGCGAAAGCGUGGGGAGCAAACAGG
RNAcentral lists this ribosomal RNA (254 nucleotides) under uncultured bacterium. RNAcentral's name for it is "partial 16S ribosomal RNA". It matches the Rfam family "Bacterial small subunit ribosomal RNA", at positions 524 to 776 of the family's 1533-position model. The record is from RNAcentral.